AUUUUUGCACUUUCUAUUGUGUUACGUGUGGAUUCUUGUAUGAUGGUGAGAAUUCAUAAUUGUGGAUAUGCAGAACCUGCUUUCACUCUAAGCACUGCUUAAAUUGGCUUGUCAGCUAAGUCUUUUGCUUUAUUAAAAGGCUUAGAUGAGCAUGUUUUCUUCAAUUCAAAGUAAUUUCCCUCAACUUAAAUGUGUGGGCUUUAUUUCAGCUGCUUUAUGUUAACCUUAAACUGAAACUGGUAGCCUUCUUUUUGUUUCUCUCCAUGAACAGAACAAGCAGCUCUUCUUAGGAGUCAACAUGUAUGGACCUCUCAAGUUUCUCAACUGUAUGAGAAAUGAGGCUGCCCUUGCAUGUUCCAUAGUUCAACUCUACAGAAAGGGAAUGAAGUAAUAUACUGAUACCUGCCAGAGCUGUGUGUAGUGCUGUGCAUGUGCCAAGAAAUCUGUGAGUGAACCUGUCCUGGAGAUGUGCACUGUGGGCUUUCCACGAACCCUCACAUUUCACACUCCACUGCUGGGACUGCCUACUGGUGAACAUGCCCCUUGCCCUAGCUGCAGGAGAGAAGCUGCUUACAGAUCCGUUCCUCUCACCUCAGAUCAUCUGGAACAGCUUUCUGGAACAGAAGAAAGCUCAGAAGACGACCCUAUCUCUGAAGACUAAGAAGCAAGAGCUUUUGGGGAAAGAGAGUUUGUCUCCACUGUCUUUUGGGCUUGCACAGGAACUCUGAAUGAGGACUGCCUUACUUAUCUCUGCUCCAGCAGCAUUUAUCAUCAGCAACUGUAUCAUACUAUAUCUAUGACAUAAGAAGCAGUUUCAAAGCUUUCUGAUGGCAGACACCAUCCUGGAUCUUCUGGGUAAGAUCAGAGCCAACGCUUGUGAGAACAAUUAGACCUACAAAUUUUAUAGACAAAAACAUCCUUUAUUGUGUCCUUUGGCUGGCACUAGGCAUUGUUCAAGAAAAAAAGGAUCUUGAUUUUGGGUUGAUAUGUCCAAGAAAAUGGUAUGCAUCUGACUCUGGCAACCACUUUGGAUGCUUUUGAGAAUUUACAUUAUCAGACAUCUCCACCUCCAGUGGAUAUGUGAUUCAGAAUAGUAUCUGCGGCAUUCAGUAAUUCAAAUGCAAAUAGAAAGCUGCUGCAUCUUGAAAUAAUGCUGGCUCAGAGAUAGUUUGCUAGUCAUUAUACAGUUUGCUUAAAAUAAUUUAGUGAAAUAAUAUCUCACGGUUGCAUACAAUUAUUUUUGAUUGCUUUCUUAAAUGUGAUCAUAAAAUUUUAUAGUGCCCUUUCUACAACACCUACCAUUUUCCUGACCGGUUAAUGAAUGAUUCUGAGUUACAGCACCUCCAUCUUGUGGUAAACUUGAGAAAUAAAUCUUUCUUAAUGCUAUCUGCCA
RNAcentral lists this long non-coding RNA (1393 nucleotides) under Phasianus colchicus (ring-necked pheasant). Its description in RNAcentral is "lncRNA (ENSPCLG00000020482.1)". Lineage: Eukaryota; Metazoa; Chordata; Aves; Galliformes; Phasianidae. The record is from RNAcentral.